RNAcentral lists this transfer RNA (69 nucleotides) under Ptychoptera scutellaris. RNAcentral's name for it is "tRNA-Trp". It matches the Rfam family "tRNA". Rfam says of the family: Transfer RNA (tRNA) molecules are approximately 80 nucleotides in length. Their secondary structure includes four short double-helical elements and three loops (D, anti-codon, and T loops). Further hydrogen bonds mediate the characteristic L-shaped molecular structure. tRNAs have two regions of fundamental functional importance: the anti-codon, which is responsible for specific mRNA codon recognition, and the 3' end, to which the tRNAs corresponding amino acid is attached (by aminoacyl-tRNA synthetases). tRNAs cope with the degeneracy of the genetic code in two manners: having more than one tRNA (with a specific anti-codon) for a particular amino acid; and 'wobble' base-pairing, i.e. permitting non-standard base-pairing at the 3rd anti-codon position. Lineage: Eukaryota; Metazoa; Arthropoda; Insecta; Diptera; Ptychopteridae. The record is from RNAcentral.
AAGGCUUUAAGUUAAUUAAACUAAUAGUCUUCAAAACUAUUUAUAUUAGUAUAAAUCUUUUAAGCUUUA